This 111-nucleotide long non-coding RNA is filed under the name Capra hircus (goat). RNAcentral's name for it is "lncRNA (ENSCHIG00000006422.1)". Lineage: Eukaryota; Metazoa; Chordata; Mammalia; Artiodactyla; Bovidae. The record is from RNAcentral.
GUUAUGUCAAUGAUGAUGGCUGAAUCUUCUGCAGGGCUGGAAUGCAGUAUUUCACGACGUGGUUUUAAAAGCCAGACCAAUAUAUACACAGUGAAUAGACAUAAUGAGUGA